This 432-nucleotide ribosomal RNA is filed under the name uncultured bacterium. RNAcentral's name for it is "partial 16S ribosomal RNA". It matches the Rfam family "Bacterial small subunit ribosomal RNA", at positions 29 to 506 of the family's 1533-position model. The record is from RNAcentral.
AACGAACGCUGGCGGCAUGCCUAACACAUGCAAGUCGAACGAGACCUUCGGGUCUAGUGGCGCACGGGUGCGUAACGCGUGGGAACCUGCCCUUAGGCUCGGAAUAACUCCCCGAAAGGGGUGCUAAUACCGGAUAAUGUCUUCGGACCAAAGAUUUAUCGCCUUUGGAUGGGCCCGCGUUGGAUUAGCUAGUUGGUAGGGUAAAAGCCUACCAAGGCGACGAUCCAUAGCUGGUCUGAGAGGAUGAUCAGCCACACUGGGACUGAGACACGGCCCAGACUCCUACGGGAGGCCGCAGUGGGGAAUAUUGGACAAUGGGCGAAAGCCUGAUCCAGCAAUGCCGCGUGAGUGAUGAAGGCCUUAGGGUUGUAAAGCUCUUUUACCCGGGAUGAUAAUGACAGUACCGGGAGAAUAAGCUCCGGCUAACUCCGU